UGGGGAAUAUUGCACAAUGGAGGGAACUCUGAUGCAGCGACGCCGCGUGAGUGAUGAAGGAAUUCGUUUCGUAAAACUCUGUUCUAUGGGAAGAAAAGGACUGUACCAUAGGAGAAAGCUCCGGCUAAAUACGUGCCAGCAGCCGCGGUAAUACGUAUGGAGCGAGCGUUGUCCGGAAUUAUUGGGCGUAAAGGGUGCGCAGGCGGCUUUACAAGUUGGAUGUGAAAUAUUGUGGCUCAACCACAAACGUGCAUCCAAAACUGCAAAGCUUGAGUUAAGGAGAGGUAAGUGGAAUUCCUGGUGUAGCGGUGGAAUGCGUAGAUAUCAGGAGGAAUAGCGGUGGCGAAGGCGACUUACUGGACUUAAACUGACGCUCAGGCACGAAAGCGUGGGGAGCAAACAGG
Molecule: ribosomal RNA, 404 nt
Filed under: Fusobacteriota bacterium
Lineage: Bacteria; Fusobacteriati; Fusobacteriota
Description: Fusobacteria bacterium partial 16S ribosomal RNA
Rfam family: Bacterial small subunit ribosomal RNA
Source: RNAcentral